CUAUAAUGUUGAUAUCAUGGAGGGUCAGUCCUUGCAUCCAUAGCUUUAUCUGUUAAUUUGAGAGUGGUUACAUUUCUCCAGUACCAUCCCUCAGCUUUUUACAGAAACAGGAGCUUUGUUAUUGUUUCUACUGUGGAUUGCUGCUUUAAGUAGCUUCAUAACACCACAGCAUGAGAGUUACAGUUGAGGAUAAAAUGAUCAGCGUUUGUUCAAUCUGUAGUUAAACGGUCCUCUUUGAUGGUGAAGGAGGUGAAUAUCUCUUUGAUUCUUGUUACGAAACCAAUAACUAGCUGGCUAAUAUUGUUGCACUCACUAAGUCUAGGGGUCUCAGGCCUAGUUAACUGGUCUGUAACCGGAUUUAAGCUUGUAAAUGUGUGAGAAAUCAGCGCAUGCGCCUAGGUGUUGAAGGUUCAAUAUGGAUGGAGUGUGUCCUGGAUAGUGUGUUUGUCUAUGUCCUAGCACUAACCCCCCUCCCCCUAUCAUAACAUUCUAAAGAAGGGCAAACCAGCUGAUGAUUGGCUCUUUCAUUAAGGCUAAUUUUUAUCCAGAAUUCAGAUGUACGGCUGUUGGCCAAAACCUUGGCCACUAGGCUAGAAGCGUUGCUUCCUUCACUCAUCAAUAUCGACCAGACGGGGCUUGCCGAGGGCAGAUACUCGUAGCAUUAUAUAAGGAAACUUCUAAACAUUAUUCAACAUGCAAAUCUAUAUAGCCCGGAGGCCUUAGUGAUCUCACUUGAUGCAGAGAAGGCCUUUAACAGGGUCGAGUGGACCUAUCUGAUUAUGACACUAGGAGAUGAGUUCAUCAAAUGGAUAGGGGUAUUUGACACCUGUCCUACUGCUGCUGUUCUCACCAAAGGGGUCAGAUUUCACACUAGGACAUGGAACCAGGUAGGGUUGUCCAAUGACCGUUCUGUUAUUAGCUGUGGCAAUAAGGCUGGAGGAUGCUAUAGGUGGGAUCCAAUAGGAGACCAAAGGCAAUAACAUUUCUCCAUAUUCGGAUGAUGUUUCGCUGUUCGUGUAGAAAUUCUAUUCCAAAAACUUGUAGACCUUAUUACCUCUUUAGGAGCUUCCUCUAGGUAUAAAGUCUGAGGCUAUGACACGUGGUGACUCCCAGGCUGUUAAUUCAACAAUCAGCCUUUCCAAUGGCCUCCCUCUGCUUUCACGUACUUGACUAUUAAAAUCUCUCCUGUGCUAAAAUGCAUGUAUAGAUGACCCAACUCCUGCUCUCUAUUCAAAAUGAUCUUCAUAGGUGGUGUUGCCUGCCUCUGUCGUGGUUAGGCCGUUCUCACCUUAUCAAAAUGAUCUUGAUAGGGGGUGUUGCCUGCCUCUCUGUCGUGGUUAGGUCGUACUCACCUUAUCAAAAUGAAUAUUCUCCCUCGCCUGCUAUACUGUUUUCAAAUGGUCCCACUUUUACUUCCCAGAAAAACCUUUACCCAGUUAGACCAUGCUAUCAUCAUUUUCUUCUGGCCAAGGUAAAUACCUAGGCUGAAGUACAGCUAUCUCACUCUACCUACCAGGUUAGCUGGUCUAGCAGCCCCUUCUCUUAAAUGUUAUCAACUGGCAUCUCAACUGAGCUUUAUUGAGAGUAUUGAAAACUCAAGAGCCUCUUGGCUUAGUGGUGAAUCAGCUACUAUUGGGACAAUCCCACUCCGUAAACGUUUAUACAUAUCGCAGACAAAGAUAGGCAAGUAACUAAAGACAAUUCAUUACAUGCUGAAGAACAUCUCUCUAUCUGGGGACAGGUCCGAAAUUUAGAAGGGCACAAUGAUUGUUCCUCAUUUCUGACCCCUUUGAAUGAAACCUAAUGUGUCUUGUCUUUACACUAAGUCUCAGGAAGCAGGAGGUUCCCUUAUUCAUUGUUUCUGGGAUUGUUGUUACAUAAAAACCAUUCUGGUCGGAGGUUCUACAGGAGAUAAUGUUUCUUGAACGCUCUCUCCAGCUGGGAGCAGCGUUUUUUAGACGGAAACUAGAGAGGAGCUGCCUCUUCGAUUUCCUUACGCACAUGUUACACAUUUUAUUACAUUGUGCACUAAACAUGUAUUCUUCUGCUGUGGAUAUCUGAUAAGGCAUCCUCAAGAAGUCAAUGGGAACAAAGGGCCAUUGAUUUAAUUUCCAAUGAGGCUUCCUCUACUCUAAAUAAGCCUCAUCAAUUUCUUAAGAUGUGGGACCCCUUCGUGAACCAACUCCGUCAAAACAAAAUGCUAAUUUCAGUACUGUCAGGCCUGGCCUGGCGCGAUUCAGCUACUUGAGGACAAAUCUACUUUAUGUAGGUGGUUUGUACUCAUACUUGACCUCUGUGAUUGUGUAGUCUGACGCUUAUUGUGGGUCUAUGAUCUGUAUACUGAUUAAUGGUAUUUUAUUUCUUUUUUUUAUUGUUGUCUUGUCUGUCUGUCUGUCUGUCUGUCUGUCUGUCUGUCUGUCUGUCUGUCAAUUGUGCUCUUCAUUCUCCUGUGUCUAGUGUUUUUUUGCCUUGUUUUCUUCUAUGAUAUAUUUAGUGUAUUUUUAUUACUCUGUAAAAGCCACAAAAGUUCAUUCAAAUUAUAUUAAAAAAUAUAUAUAAUAAAAAUAUAUAAAAUAUAUAAUUUAAAAAAUACUGGCAUAAUCAGUGAAAAGCUGAUUGGCAUUAGCGUUAGUACGCUAACGAGCCUAGCUGCCCCUCCCUGCUGCUCUAGGCAGGUUCACAGUGUUAGCACACUAACUAGCCUAGCUUCCCUCCCUGCUGCUCUAGGCAGGUUCACAGUGUUAGCACACUAACUAGCCUAGCUGGUCCUCCCUGCUGCUCUAGGCAGGUUCACAGUGUUAGCACACUAACUAGCCUAGCUGCCCCUCCCUGCUGCUCUAGGCAGGUUCACAGUGUUAGCACACUAACUAGCCUAGCUGCCCCUCCCUGCUGCUCUAGGCAGGUUCACAGUGUUAGCACACUAACUAGCCUAGCUUCCCUCCCUGCUGCUCUAGGCAGGUUCACAGUGUUAGCACACUAACUAGCCUAGCUUCCCUCCCUGCUGCUCUAGGCAGGUUCACAGUGUUAGCACACUAACUAGCCUAGCUUCCCUCCCUGCUGCUCUAGGCAGGUUCACAGUGUUAGCACACUAACUAGCCUAGCUUCCCUCCCUGCUGCUCUAGGCAGGUUCACAGUGUUAGCACACUAACUAGCCUAGCUGCUCCUCCCUGCUGCUCUAGGCAGGUUCACAGUGUUAGCACACUAACUAGCCUAGCUUCCCUCCCUGCUGCUCUAGGCAGGUUCACAGUGUUAGCACACU
This is a long non-coding RNA of Oncorhynchus tshawytscha (Chinook salmon), 3259 nucleotides long. RefSeq lists it as uncharacterized. NCBI's taxonomy places the organism in Eukaryota, Metazoa, Chordata, Actinopteri, Salmoniformes, Salmonidae. The record is from RefSeq and is a predicted model, not a curated record. The transcript is spliced from 3 exons.